AGAAUCAACGCUGGCGGCGUGCCUAACACAUGCAAGUCGAACGCGAAAGCCCCGCAAGGGGCAAGUAGAGUGGCAAACGGGUGAGUAACGCGUGGGCGACCUACCUCUGAGUGGGGGAUAACCGUUCCGAAAAGGAGGGCUAAUACCGCAUGACAUCCCAUGUUUGGAUACAUGGACAUCAAAGCCGGGGAUCGCAAGACCUGGCGCUUGGAGAGGGGCCCGCGUCCGAUUAGCUAGUUGGUGGGGUAACGCCCACCAAGGCUCCGAUCGGUA
RNAcentral lists this ribosomal RNA (273 nucleotides) under uncultured bacterium. RNAcentral describes it as "partial small subunit ribosomal RNA". It matches the Rfam family "Bacterial small subunit ribosomal RNA", at positions 26 to 285 of the family's 1533-position model. The record is from RNAcentral.